This 177-nucleotide ribosomal RNA is filed under the name uncultured bacterium. RNAcentral describes it as "partial 16S ribosomal RNA". It matches the Rfam family "Bacterial small subunit ribosomal RNA", at positions 1325 to 1500 of the family's 1533-position model. The record is from RNAcentral.
GUUGGGAUUGCUAGUAAUGGCAGGUCAGCAUACUGCCGUGAAUACGUUCCCGGGCCUUGUACACACCGCCCGUCACACCAUGAGAGUUGGAGAUACCCGAAGCCUGUGAGCUAACUUUUUAAGAGGCAGCAGUCGAAGGUAGAAUCAAUGAUUGGGGUGAAGUCGUAACAAGGUAGC